RNAcentral lists this ribosomal RNA (253 nucleotides) under uncultured bacterium. RNAcentral describes it as "partial 16S ribosomal RNA". It matches the Rfam family "Bacterial small subunit ribosomal RNA", at positions 524 to 776 of the family's 1533-position model. The record is from RNAcentral.
UACGGGGGGGGCAAGCGUUGUUCGGAAUUACUGGGCGUAAAGCGUGCGCAGGCGGUUGGCCAAGUCAGCUGUGAAAGCCCCGGGCUUAACCUGGGAAUGGCGGUUGAAACUAGUCGACUAGAAUCUGGCAGAGGGGGGUGGAAUUCCACGUGUAGCAGUGAAAUGCGUAGAGAUGUGGAGGAACACCGAUGGCGAAGGCAGCCCCCUGGGCUGAGAUUGACGCUGAGGCGCGAAAGCUAGGGGAGCGAACGGG